Molecule: ribosomal RNA, 584 nt
Filed under: uncultured bacterium
Lineage: Bacteria
Description: bacterial SSU rRNA
Rfam family: Bacterial small subunit ribosomal RNA
Source: RNAcentral
GAAAGGCGGGCUAAUACCGAAUGACAUCUUGAAAACUUAUGUUUUCAGGAUCAAAGGUGGCCUCUACAUGUAAGCUAUUGUUUGGGGAUGAGCCCGCGUACCAUUAGCUUGUUGGUAGGGUAAUGGCCUACCAAGGCUACGAUGGUUAGCUGGUCUGAGAGGAUGAUCAGCCACACUGGAACUGACACACGGUCCAGACUCCUACGGGAGGCAGCAGUGAGGAAUUUUGCGCAAUGGGGGAAACCCUGACGCAGCAACGCCGCGUGAGUGAUGAAGGCUUUCGGGUCGUAAAGCUCUGUCAAGUGGGAAGAACUCAUAUGGUGUUAAUACUGCCAUAUGUUGACGGUACCACUGAAGGAAGCACCGGCUAACUCCGUGCCAGCAGCCGCGGUAAUACGGGGGGUGCGAGCGUUAUUCGGAAUUACUGGGCGUAAAGAGCGCGUAGGCGGUCUUUUAAGUCAGGUGUGAAAGCCCGGGGCUCAACCCCGGAAGUGCACUUGAAACUAAGAGACUUGAGUAUGGGAGAGGGAAGUGGAAUUCCUGGUGUAGCGGUGAAAUGCGUAGAUAUCAGGAGGAACAUCGGU